This 253-nucleotide unclassified non-coding RNA is filed under the name uncultured Flavobacteriaceae bacterium. Its description in RNAcentral is "contains 16S-23S intergenic spacer region". It matches the Rfam family "Bacterial small subunit ribosomal RNA", at positions 524 to 776 of the family's 1533-position model. Lineage: Bacteria; Pseudomonadati; Bacteroidota; Flavobacteriia; Flavobacteriales; Flavobacteriaceae. The record is from RNAcentral.
UACGGAGGAUCCAAGCGUUAUCCGGAAUCAUUGGGUUUAAAGGGUCCGUAGGCGGUUUAAUAAGUCAGUGGUGAAAUCCGGCAGCUCAACUGUCGCACUGCCAUUGAUACUGUUAAACUUGAAUUAUUGUGAAGUAACUAGAAUAUGUAGUGUAGCGGUGAAAUGCUUAGAGAUUACAUGGAAUACCAAUUGCGAAGGCAGGUUACUAACAAUCAAUUGACGCUGAUGGACGAAAGCGUGGGGAGCGAACAGG